Dreissena polymorpha is the source of this 485-nucleotide long non-coding RNA. RefSeq lists it as uncharacterized. The transcript has 3 exons. The record is from RefSeq and is a predicted model, not a curated record. NCBI's taxonomy places the organism in Eukaryota, Metazoa, Mollusca, Bivalvia, Myida, Dreissenidae.
ACGGGGCUCGUUCCUAAGCAGGGUAAAGGCGGACAUGACAAAUCCGGGGGUGCAGAACCCGCACUGGAGACCGUGUCGCUCAAUCAGGCGUCGCUGCAAUAAACACACACAAUAUACAUGUGCCGAUGCAAGAAACACACGCCCCGUAUUUGGACUGCCUACCCCCUCCACCGUGGUCACCGCCUUCCCGUGCACGGCACAUAGCGGGUAGAGACAAGCGUUUACAGCCACGUGCAUAGGUUGCAGUUAAGGAGAUCGAACCGAAAACGAAAUAGGAAUGCAUGCACGCGUCGGAACCGUAGCCGCAGUCUCACCCCACCCGAUCGCAGGCCAUAAUAUGUUGAGCGGUAGUCUUUCCGCUAGACUGUCGUUUCUUUCAAAUAUUGGGUUCUCUCAUUGUAGGUUUCUUUGAAAUAACUUUGCUGACCAUAUUGCACAUUUCAAGCAAGUAACUAUGCCAAGGAAAUGUAAACGUGUAAUGUGAA